UAGGUGGCAGAGCAGCCACUCAUUUCAUUCGAAAAAUACCUGAUUGAAUCUUUUGAUUAUAAAAUCCAAUUUAGGUUUAGAUUUUAAUCAUCUUUAAGCCUAAUUUUUUUUAUCUAAUUUUUUAAAUUUUAGGUCUUUUUUUUUUACAGCUGUACUGGGAAAAAAAGUUUAUUUUCUUUUGAUCUGAGCUCUCACUGGUCACACCUUACAGGUGCAACCAAUCCCAGACAAUUAUAGUGUAGAAAUCGUCGCAGCUUGUGAUUGGCCGAUGACAUUUAAGCUGUUCCUAUAUCCGGAAAGCGGCGUAGAUCAAAGGACGUACAUAAAGCAUCGCUGCGCAUGUGCUGCGGUUUCCAGGGGUUGCGCACAAAUAAACGAUGCGUAGAAUUAAAACGGCAGGUUCCGCUGUGUGCGUGGCUGCAGCUCUUCUCCUGAUAUCCUGUUUGCUCCAAACGGCAGAGUGUCUUCGCUUGAGGAAAACGGAGAGACGAGCAGCGCAGCGGGAGCCCGCGCCCCGCACCGAUGCGGGCGUUCAGGAGGGGCAAAUCAUCUUUGGGGAAAUUUCCGAGAAGGUCACAGAUAAUAAAAGCAAGAAAACUUCUAACGCUUCUGCAGACGAUGAAUCGGCUUACCAAGCAGAUUUUCCAGGGUGGUAUAAGGUAAAUAUGGAGGAUCCUGCAUCCAAAGACAAGUGGAAGCAAAUGGCAACAUCCCUGUAUUGUUUUGGGGAUCACAUGAAGUUCAGGUCACUUGGUCCAGGUGCUUCACAGUUUGAAGUCGAGCAAGCAAACAAACAGUCCCUACCUCUGUCCAUGGUACCCCAAAAAUGUGGCUACAACAUGCUUGGAAACUCCCUGGCAUUUGUUCUGACUGUUCCUUACAGUGGCUGCCACAUGCGUCAUCAGGUAAGUUUUCUUGAGUAGGCCUAAUUAAAAUUGUUUUUUGUUUUUGUUUGGUUUUUUACAUUUCGAGCUUAAUUUUGAUUUCUUUAUUCAAAUGUUGUGGUCAAACAGUGAUGUA
This 1020-nucleotide long non-coding RNA is filed under the name Oryzias sinensis (Chinese medaka). RNAcentral's name for it is "lncRNA (ENSOSIG00000012997.1)". The record is from RNAcentral. Lineage: Eukaryota; Metazoa; Chordata; Actinopteri; Beloniformes; Adrianichthyidae.